This is a non-coding RNA of Oreochromis niloticus (Nile tilapia), 564 nucleotides long. Lineage: Eukaryota; Metazoa; Chordata; Actinopteri; Cichliformes; Cichlidae. The record is from the annotation of a RefSeq genome assembly.
AGCAGAUCAGUUACAACAUAAAACAUGUUUUCUGUGGCUCUCCUGCUGCUUUUGGCUGCUGGAUCCUGUGUUCAAUGUGAGCAGCUGACACAACCAGCUUAUGUGACUAAGCAGCCAGGUCAGCGUCUGACCAUCACCUGUCAGGUCUCUUAUUCUGUGGGCAGCUACUACACCGCUUGGAUCAGACAGCCUGCAGGGAAAGGACUGGAGUGGAUUGGUAGCAAAUUUACUGGAGCUUCAUACUACAAAGAUUCACUGAAGAGCAAGUUUAGUAUAGACUUAGACUCUUCCAGCAAUAGAGUGACUCUAAAUGGACAGAAUAUGCAGCCUGAAGACACUGCUGUGUAUUACUGUGCCAGAGACCCACAGUCUGACAAAGCAUCAGCAGAGCUGAACAAAAACCCCUCAGUAGCCGAGCAGCUGUAGCAUGAAGGCACCAGAGGAGGAGCUCUAAGACCAGCAAUGUAUUCAAAGCUUUUCAGUGGGAAGGAAACAGCUCUUAGAUAAACUCUUCAGUUUGUGUGGAAAUUCUACAAAACUGAUUUUGAAAUAUUUGAUAAAAAA